UUUCACAAGGAUAAAUCUUUGUUGAAUAUUAACUAUGAUAGUAUUUUUUUUUUGAGCAAAACUAUGAUAGUAUUUAUACUCGCAUAUUCAUGCAUAAAAUAAUUAUAUACAUGUUCAACAAUUUUUAUUUGCUUUACGUGUACAAUCAAUUAUCAUUCAUAUAACUACAUAAAAAUAAGGGCAAUUGUCAAUAAUAGCACCUUUUGAAGUUUAUGUCUCAAAAAUGGCACUAUAAAAAGAAAGUCAUAAAAAUGACAUUCAUUAAAGGGUAAA
Molecule: long non-coding RNA, 273 nt
Filed under: Brassica rapa (field mustard)
Lineage: Eukaryota; Viridiplantae; Streptophyta; Magnoliopsida; Brassicales; Brassicaceae
Description: long non-coding RNA (BRAP_LNC005812)
Source: RNAcentral